This 244-nucleotide small RNA is filed under the name Fontibacillus panacisegetis. RNAcentral describes it as "BsrG". It matches the Rfam family "BsrG". From Rfam's summary of the family: bsrE, bsrG and bsrH pair through intermolecular interactions with antisense sRNAs. SR4 interaction with the 3'UTR of bsrG RNA promotes bsrG degradation and inhibits its translation. The record is from RNAcentral. Lineage: Bacteria; Bacillati; Bacillota; Bacilli; Caryophanales; Paenibacillaceae.
GCAAUAGAAUAGGCUUUAAAGGGCGGUCGGCUAAUCUCCCAGAAGGGAGGUGAUGCCAUGGAGGUUUAUCAAGCAAUUUCAUUAAUGUUCAUGUUUGGCAUGUUCAUUAUUGCGCUGUUAAACUACCUCAAAAAGAAAUAGACCGCCCUCAGGAAAGGUUUCGGUCUAAUUUCUAAAUCAUCCUGUCAUGCCUAUCGCCCUUAAAAGCGACUAUUGCCAUGGAGUCGUGUGUCCAGCACGGCUC